AUUGAACGCUGGCGGCAUGCCUUACACAUGCAAGUCGAACGGUAACAGGUCUUCGGAUGCUGACGAGUGGCGAACGGGUGAGUAAUACAUCGGAACGUGCCUAGUAGUGGGGGAUAACUACUCGAAAGAGUGGCUAAUACCGCAUGAGAUCUACGGAUGAAAGCAGGGGAUCGCAAGACCUUGUGCUACUAGAGCGGCCGAUGGCAGAUUAGGUAGUUUGUGGGAUAAAAGCUUACCAAGCCGACGAUCUGUAGCUGGUCUGAGAGGACGAUCGGCAAAACUGGGACUGGGACACGGCCCAGAAUCCUACGGGGGGCAGCAGUGGGGAAUUUUGGACAAUGGGCGCAAGCCUGAUCCAGCAAUGCCGGGCGCAGGAUGAGGGCCUUCGGGUUGUAAGCUGCUUUUGUACGGAACGAAAAGCCUUGGGUUAAUACCCUGGGGUCAUGACGGUACCGUAAGAAUAAGCACCGGCUAACUACGUGCCAGCCGCCGCGGUAA
This 498-nucleotide ribosomal RNA is filed under the name uncultured bacterium. Its description in RNAcentral is "partial 16S ribosomal RNA". It matches the Rfam family "Bacterial small subunit ribosomal RNA", at positions 30 to 523 of the family's 1533-position model. The record is from RNAcentral.